Molecule: ribosomal RNA, 119 nt
Filed under: Pteropus alecto (black flying fox)
Lineage: Eukaryota; Metazoa; Chordata; Mammalia; Chiroptera; Pteropodidae
Source: RNAcentral
GCCUGUGGUCAUGCCACCCUGAACGUGCCCGAUCUCAUCUGAUCUCGGGAGCUAAGCAGGGUCGGGCCUAGUUAGUACUUGGAUGGGAGACCACCUUGGAAUACCAGGUGCUGUAGGCA